Molecule: ribosomal RNA, 332 nt
Filed under: uncultured marine eukaryote
Lineage: Eukaryota
Description: SSU rRNA
Rfam family: Eukaryotic small subunit ribosomal RNA
Source: RNAcentral
AACCUGGUUGAUCCUGCCAGUAGUCAUACGCUCGUCUCAAAGAUUAAGCCAUGCAUGUCUAAGUAUAAACGAUUUUGUACUGUGAAACUGCGAAUGGCUCAUUAUAUCUGUUAUAGUUUAUUUGAUAGUCCCUUACUACAUGGAUACCCGUAGUAAUUCUAGAGCUAAUACAUGCAUCGACUCCCAACUGCUUCGGCGGACGGGACGCAUUUAUUAGAUUGAAACCAAUGCGGGGGAGACCCCGGUAUCGUGGUGAGUCAUGAUAACUUUGCGAAUCGCAUGGCCUCGUGCCGGCGAUGGAUCAUUCAAGUUUCCGCCCUAUCAGCUUUGGA